Molecule: ribosomal RNA, 253 nt
Filed under: uncultured bacterium
Lineage: Bacteria
Description: partial 16S ribosomal RNA
Rfam family: Bacterial small subunit ribosomal RNA
Source: RNAcentral
UACGUAGGGGGCAAGCGUUGUCCGGAAUCAUUGGGCGUAAAGAGCGUGUAGGCGGCCCGGUAAGUCCGUUGUGAAAGUCCAGGGCUCAACCCUGGAAAGCCGAUGGAUACUGCCGGGCUAGAGUUCGGAAGAGGCGAGUGGAAUUCCUGGUGUAGCGGUGAAAUGCGCAGAUAUCAGGAAGAACACCCGUGGCGAAGGCGGCUCUCUGGGACGGUACUGACGCUGAGACGCGAAAGCGUGGGGAGCAAACAGG